This 72-nucleotide transfer RNA is filed under the name Stenotrophomonas maltophilia. RNAcentral describes it as "tRNA-Gly". It matches the Rfam family "tRNA". From Rfam's summary of the family: Transfer RNA (tRNA) molecules are approximately 80 nucleotides in length. Their secondary structure includes four short double-helical elements and three loops (D, anti-codon, and T loops). The record is from RNAcentral. Lineage: Bacteria; Pseudomonadati; Pseudomonadota; Gammaproteobacteria; Lysobacterales; Lysobacteraceae. RNAcentral also lists the same sequence under 1 other name.
GCGGGAAUAGCUCAGUUGGUAGAGCGCAACCUUGCCAAGGUUGAGGUCGCGAGUUCGAGUCUCGUUUCCCGC